UAUACUUUUUCUUCUUAUUAUUAGUUGUAUAAAAGUACCUUUGCCUUAUAAAUAGAAGAGGCAAGCACUACAACAAAAACCCAUUUCAAUAACACAAAAAUAUAACUCUUUUCAAAAAGUAUUAUAAUAUAUAUAUGUAUAUAGGCGGGACUUAAUUGGCGCCUAAUUUUCCCCAACCCCCCCAAAAUUUUCACACGGUCCAAUUGACCAAAAAAAAAAAAGUAAAAAACCAUUUCCCCAUUUCACAGUCGGUUCCCAUUUCCCCAUUUUACAGUCGGUCCCCAUUUCCCCUCUCUCUCUCUUCUCUCUCUUCGUUCCCCGUUUACCCUCUCUCUCUCUCGUCGUUCCCCGUUUACCCACUCUCUCUCUCUCUUCGUUUACCCCCUCUCUCUCUUCGUUUCUCAACCGAUCUGCCCAGGAGGAGGACGAUUAAGCUUGCCCGCCACUUAUACAAUCUGCCCAGGAGGAGGAUGACGACACUGUGUGUGUCUUCAUCACCUCGACGCAUGGUGGAAGCAAGAUCUGGUAUGUUUCUCCAAUUUGUGUCCCUCUCUCAAUUACAGUAAGCUUUUUUUUAAUAUCCAUUUUUGUAUUUAUGGGGUAUUUUUAUGCUCCGAUCACUCUGUUGUGCUCAUAAUUUAUUGUGUUUUUUUUUCCGGUCUCACUUCAUUACAAAUAUGGUUGGAAAAAGUUGAUUUAGGGCUUGAUUUAAACUUUCAAAAAAGGGGAAAGAUCUCUAGAAACUGAAUAAGAAGGCAAAGGGAACUGCCUCUUCUCAAGACAAAUGGCUCUUGGUAUACUUGCAGUCUACUAAGGAGUUCAGCUCACAUAUGCUUAAUCGAGAUACAUGGGCUAAUGAAGCUGUCUCUCAAACGAUCAGUACAAACUUUGUCUUUUGGUAGGUAAGUAUUCCAUUUUUGGGGGGUUUCACACUAAAAUAUAAUAAUAUUCAAGGCGGUUUGGCAAAAUAACAUUUUUUUAAUGUCACUUUGCAAAAUGACCUUCUAUUAGUAAUUUUCAUUUUUUAUUCUGCUUUAAGGAUUCCUUAUAUCUAGUAGCAAAUGCCUAUUUUCAUAUUGUUUCAAGGCCUUGUAUGUACAUCUGUAGAUACAUGGUCAUUAUUGGACUAGAAUUUUAAGAUAAUAUGCUAUACUUAUAUAAAGUUUGGGGCAGGGAUCUUUAUGUAUUUUUCUUAAUUGCAUUAUGACUUCAUAUUUUCGGUCUACUGUUAACUUUGCCGUUUGAUAUUUUGGCACUUUUGAUCUGAAAUGUUGUUUAGAUGAUUAAAAUUUAAAAUUUGCCUCAUCAUAUAUAUAUAUUCAUUGUUUUUUUUUACUGAGUAACGUUGUCAUAUCUGCGAUCUCUUUCCUUUAAUAACUUUCUUUUAUUGGGUCUUUUGUAAAAAAAAAACUUUUAUUAAUUAUAUACGUUUUUUUUCCACGGUUCUUUGGUUUGUUUCUAGAUUACUUUGUGCCUGAUGAUGAAAACUUUUAUUUUUUGUAUUGAUAUGUGCAUUGAUUUCAUUUUGAGCCUCCAUCUUUUCUGCUCUCACCAUCUUUGGUACUCACCAUGAUCCAUUAUUUUAUUUUAUUUAUUUAUUUAUUACUAUUUUCUCAUGUUGGCUGUGGUGAUGAUGAUCUGUGUUUGCUGUUGGUGGUGGUGAAUGCCAAAGGUGAUGGUUGAAGUGGUGGUGUUUAAACCUUGAAGAUGUGAUUGGUUCUUAAUGAAUUUUCAAUGUUCAUGAAAUUUCUAGCAUUAAUCUCUGAGGGCAUUUAUAUAUUAAAAUGGUCUCUUUUUUCAAUAUUCUCUAUAUGUUGAUGCUGCAAGUCAUAUGCAUUGUCUUAUAGUGGACACUCUCUCUGUGCUUCUUAGGCUUGGUCGCCAUUUGAUCUCAGUCCGGAGUUUUCUAGUCACGGAAGAGAAGGUGAUAAAAACCUGGGGGGACCAGUAGACUCCUAUGACUUUCAUUGCCUGAUACAAGACCUUGUUCAUGUGACUAAUGGAAUGAACUUUCAAAAGUCUGAUACAAAUGUUGGUUAUCUAGUUUCCUUUUCAUUGUUUAUUGUAAUUUAGGACUUUUUUGUAAUUGAUAAUUAUAUUUAACCAAGUAUGAUAUGUCUCUGGUUAAAUUCCUGGAAGCUAAUGACAUCGUAUACCAAGGUUCAUGGUGAUGAAGCCAAGAAUGGUUCAAUAAUGUCUUGUGUGAAGUAAAUACUUGAUAUUUGUUUUAUCAUCUAUUGGAUAUACAUGAUCUCAUAUAUAAAGUGAAAACAAAUUUGGAGCUUAGAAAUGUAUGGAGUAUGACUAUAACUAGGGAAAGCUGUAGAAAUAUACAGGU
Humulus lupulus (European hop) is the source of this 2338-nucleotide long non-coding RNA. RefSeq lists it as uncharacterized. The record is from RefSeq and is a predicted model, not a curated record. Lineage: Eukaryota; Viridiplantae; Streptophyta; Magnoliopsida; Rosales; Cannabaceae. The transcript is spliced from 4 exons.